GUAAAUUCCGUCCAAGCCUAAAUAUUGGUGAGAGACCGAUAGGAAACAAGUACCGCAAGGGAAAGAUCAAAAGGACUUUGAGAAAAGAGUCAAAGAGUACUUGAAAUUGUUGAGAGGGAAGCGGAUGGGGGGCCGGCGGUGUGUCCCGGUCGAAUGUGGAAUGACAAUAAGCCAGUCUGCUGAUGGACUCAGUGCGUGAACCGACGCAGAUUGGGGCGGUGUCGCAAGCCUGAGCCUUUGUUGUUCUCGCAGAGACGUCGUCGCCCCAAUCGGGGCUAGCAAUGAGCGUCAUUGGCUUGCUCAGGCAUCAGCGCGCUCCAGGCGUUGGCCUGCGGGCUCCCCAUUCGGCCCGUCUUGAAACACGGACCAUGGAUUCUGACAUGUGUGCGAGUCAACGGGCAAGAAAACCCGUGAGCCAAAAGGAAGCUGAGUGGCGGGAUCCCCUUGAAGGUUGCACUACCGACCGACGUUGAUCUUCUGAGAAGGGUUCGAGUGUGAGCAUGCAUGUCGGGACCAGAAAGAUGGUGAACUAGGCCUGAGCGGGGCCAAGCCAGAGGAAACUCUGGUGGAGGCCAGCAGCGAUACUGACGUGCAAAUCUUUUGUUACUUGGGUAUAGGGGCGAGAGACUAAUUGAACCGUCUAGUAACUGGUUCCCUCCAAAGUUUCCCUCAGGAUAGCUGGAGCCCAUGGACAAGUUCUAUCGGGUAAAGCCAAUGAUUAGAGGCAUCAGGGGCACAACGCCCUCGACCUAUUCUCAAACUUUAAAUAGGUAGGACGGCGCAGCUACUUUGUUGAGCCGCGCCACGGAUUCGAGAGCUCCAAGUGUGCCAUUUUAUGUAAGCAGAACUGGCGAUGCGGGAUGAACCGAAAGCUGGCUUACGGUGCCCAACUGCGCGCUAACCUAGAACCCACAAAGGGUGUUGGUCGAUUAAGACAGUAGCACGGUGGUCAUGGAAGUGAAAAUUCAUUAAGGAGUGUGUAAUAACUGACCUAUUGAAUCUACUAGCCCUGAAAAUGGAUGGCGCUGAAGCGCGCGACCUAUACCUGGCCGUCGGGGCAAGUACCGAGCGGAGUGGCCGUCGGUGCAGAUCUGGGUGGUAGUAGCAAAUAUUCAAAUGAGAACUUUGAAGGCCAAAGAGGGGAGAGGUUCCAUGCAAACAACACUUGCACAUGGGUUAGUCGAUCCUAAGAGAAAGGGCAAUCUCGUCUGACAAUGCCAAGUGCGCAAGGAUCGAAAGGGAAUCAGGUUAAAAUUCCUAAACUGGGACUUGGCGGCUGACGGCAACGUUAGGGAGUCCGGAGACGUUAUCGGGGACCUCGGGAUGAGUUAUCUUUUCUAUUUAACAGCCUGCCCAAUCUGGAAAUGGCUCAGCCGGAGGUAGGGUCCAGCGGCUGGAAGAGCACCGCACGUCGCGCGGUGUUCGGUACAUCCUCGACGGCCCUUGAAAAUUUGGAGGACCGAGUGCCUCCCACGCCCGGUCGUACUCAUAACUUCAUCAGGUCUCCAAGGUGAACAGCCUCUUGUUGAUGGAACAAGGUAGGCAAGGGAAUUCGGCAAAAUGGAUCCGUAACCUUGGGAAAAGGAUUGGCUCUGAGAGCUGGGCACGGGGUUCCCCGUCCCAAAUUCGUCGGCUAUCGAUGGACUGCUCUCGCUGCGAGAGUGGGUCGUCGCGUGUCGGCUGGGGGACGGACUGGGAACGGCUCCUUCAGGGGCAUUCCCAGGUCACCGAAUAGUCGACUCAGAACUGGUACGGAAAAGGGGAAUCCGACUUUUUAAUUAAAACAAAGCAUUGCGAUGGUCCUUACGGAUGCUCACGCAAUGUGAUUUCUGCCCAGUGGUCUUAAUGUCAAAGUGAAGAAAUUCAACCAAGCGCGGGUAAACGGCGGGAGUAACUAUAACUCUCUUAAGGUAGCCAAAUGCCUCGUCAUCUAAUUAGUGACACGCAUGAAUGGAUUAAUGAGAUUCCUAUUGUCCCUGUCUACUAUACAGCGAAAGCUCAGCCAAGGGAACGGGCUUGGCAGAAUCAGUGGGAAAGAAGACCCUGUUGAGCAGUCUGACUCUUUGAAAUGACUGAAGAGGUGUAGGAUAAGUGGGAGCCGAAAAAGGCGAAAGUGAAAUACCACAACUUUUAAUGUUAUUUUACUUAUUCGGUGAAUCGGAAGCGGGGAAACGCCCCUCUUUUUGGACCCAAGGCUCACCUCGGCGGGUCGAUCAUGGCAGAAGACAUUGUUAGGUGGAAAGUUUGGCUGGGGCGGCACAUCUGUUAAAAGAUAACGCAGGUGUCCUAAGAUGAGCUCAACGAGAACAAAAAUCUCGUGUGGAACAAAAGGGUAAAAGCUCGUUUGAUUCUGAUUUUCAGUAGGAAUACAAACAAUAAAAGCGUGGCCUAUCAAACCUUAGACCUUCUGAAUUUGCAGCUAGAGGUGUCAGAAAAGUUACCACAGGGAUAACUGGCUUGUGGCAGCAAAGCGUUCAUAGCGACGUUGCUUUUUAUCCUUCGAUGUCGGCUCUUCCUAUCAUUGUGAAGCAGAAUUCACCAAGUGUUGGAUUGUUCACCCACCAAUAGGAAAUGUGAGCUGGGUUUAGACCAUCGUGAGACAUAUUAGUUUUACCCUACUGAUGACAGCGUCGCAAUAGUAAUUCAACCUAGUACGAGAGGAACUGUUGAUUCGCACAAUUGGUCAUCGCACUUGGUUGAAAAGCCAGUGGCGCGAAGCUACCGUGCACUGGAUUAUGACUGAACGCCUCUAAGUCAUAAUCCGGGCUAGAAGCAAUGCAUGCACCCGCCGCCUGAUUGCCGACCACCAGUAGGGGCCCUCGGCCCCAAAGGGCUUGCGUAUUUGGCCAAGCCCUCACAAUCGAGCUGUUGCGCGGGCCACCUUGAAGUGUUAUUUCAACCGAGC
Molecule: ribosomal RNA, 2905 nt
Filed under: Begonia fuchsioides
Lineage: Eukaryota; Viridiplantae; Streptophyta; Magnoliopsida; Cucurbitales; Begoniaceae
Description: eukaryotic LSU rRNA
Rfam family: Eukaryotic large subunit ribosomal RNA
Source: RNAcentral